UGGUGGCCAUAGCAAGCGGGAACCACCCGAUCCCAUCCCGACCUCGGAAGUGAAACCGCUUAGCGCCGAUGAUAGUGUGGUUAAAUCCAUGUGAAAGUAGGACACCGCC
Molecule: ribosomal RNA, 109 nt
Filed under: Methylogaea oryzae
Lineage: Bacteria; Pseudomonadati; Pseudomonadota; Gammaproteobacteria; Methylococcales; Methylococcaceae
Source: RNAcentral